AAGUCGUAACAAGGUUUCCGUAGGUGAACCUGCGGAAGGAUCAUUAACACGUGUUCCCCACGUUUUACCAACCCAACCGUGCUCUUAUAAAACUAAUCUCCCAUGGCGAUUCAAGUGGUUGUUAUGAUCGAACUUAGGUGGUAAGUUUGGCUCUCAACCUGGGGUGAAAAACCCAAGCUUUGGAUCGAAAUGGCUUAUUUACCUAUUUCCCUAACCACCUUAGGGAUUAUUUUAACCCCUUAACCCCGUUUUUGUUAUGAACUAAUCUAUAUAUCAGGUCGAAAGGCUUGGUAUGGUUUUCACAAACCGCGUACAACUCUUAGCAGUGGAUAUCUAGGCUCUU
Molecule: unclassified non-coding RNA, 343 nt
Filed under: fungal sp.
Lineage: Eukaryota; Fungi
Description: partial internal transcribed spacer region
Rfam family: Eukaryotic small subunit ribosomal RNA (bases 1-46)
Source: RNAcentral